UACGGAAGGGGCUAGCGUUGUUCGGAAUUACUGGGCGUAAAGAGCGCGUAGGCGGCUUACCAAGUUGGGGUGAAAUCCCGGAGCUCAACUCCGGAACUGCCUUCAAAACUGGUAGGCUUGAGUCCGGAAGAGGGGCGUGGAAUUCCCAGUGUAGAGGUGAAAUUCGUAGAUACUGGGAAGAACACCAGUGGCGAAGGCGGCGCCCUGGUCCGGUACUGACGCUGAGGCGCGAAAGCGUGGGGAGCAAACAGG
RNAcentral lists this ribosomal RNA (252 nucleotides) under uncultured bacterium. RNAcentral describes it as "partial 16S ribosomal RNA". It matches the Rfam family "Bacterial small subunit ribosomal RNA", at positions 524 to 776 of the family's 1533-position model. The record is from RNAcentral.